RNAcentral lists this ribosomal RNA (409 nucleotides) under uncultured bacterium. RNAcentral's name for it is "bacterial SSU rRNA". It matches the Rfam family "Bacterial small subunit ribosomal RNA", at positions 355 to 776 of the family's 1533-position model. The record is from RNAcentral.
UGGGGAAUAUUGCACAAUGGGCGGAAGCCUGAUGCAGCAACGCCGCGUGCGGGAUGACGGCCUUCGGGUUGUAAACCGCUUUCAGUAGGGACGAAGGGUGACUGACGGUACCUACAGAAGAAGGACCGGCUAACUACGUGCCAGCAGCCGCGGUGAUACGUAGGGUCCGAGCGUUGUCCGGAAUUAUUGGGCGUAAAGGGCUUGUAGGCGGUUCGUCGCGUCAGGAGUGAAAACUCAGGGCUUAACCCUGAGCCUGCUUUUGAUACGGGCGGACUAGAGGGAUGCAGGGGAGAACGGAAUUCCUGGUGGAGCGGUGGAAUGCGCAGAUAUCAGGAGGAACACCGGUGGCGAAGGCGGUUCUCUGGGCAUUACCUGACGCUGAGAAGCGAAAGCGUGGGGAGCAAACAGG